RNAcentral lists this small RNA (3135 nucleotides) under Pongo abelii (Sumatran orangutan). Its description in RNAcentral is "retained intron". The record is from RNAcentral. Lineage: Eukaryota; Metazoa; Chordata; Mammalia; Primates; Hominidae.
GACUUGUUUCUAAAUCACAAUUCCCAAUUUAUUAAUUUCUAUGGAGAAAUAUGUGUUACCAUGUUAUCUAGACUAGCUGGUCAGGGUAUUUGCCUCCCCAGAGACAAGUCUACUUGGGAAAUCAAGUGUAUCUGAAGGUUGCUUGUUAAUUUAAUGGCAAAUCAGUUGAUUUUAAAGGGUGGUACAGUAUAGUCAAUCAUGAAUACUCUUCAUCACUUUAAAGAUAUACCUGAUAAACAGAUACUUAUAAUAGCAGGGCAAUAUUUUGUUGAACUUUGUAAAAAUAACAGUCCCAUCAUCAGCAAACUUACAAACUUAAGGGGUGAAUUCUGAAGAUAGCUGAUUUUUUUUUUUUAACUGUGUUCACCAAUUCUGAGAUAUCAUGUGGUUUGCAUCUUUCUAGUGCACCAAAUAUGGGAGAUAGUAUAAAUGUAUUACUUCUUUCACUUGCAAAUUGGCAUAGUGCAUAUAUACAAGGUCUUUCCCUUGAAGAAGUUUUUGGGCUACCCAGGCUCAAAAGGAGUUUUGUUCAUAGGAGAGAAGAAAGUGUGUUUAGGGUGUAGUACUUGAAAACAUGCUAGACUUUCUUUAUGAAUUCCACUUCCGUAAGCUGACUUGGAAUACUCAGAAAAGAAAAACAUCUACCACUUGCUGGUAGAAGUGGUAGAGUAACAGGGCCACAUGCACAACAGAGCAUGAGCUGCUGCAGAGUCAGGCAAUAUUUAAACUUUUAAAUUUGUUUUCCAAUUAAGAGAUUACAUGGCUUUGACAUUAUUCUCAGCCUAGGGGUAGAUAUGUUCUAUUUGUUAUGCUACUUGAUUGUUUAUUUUGCAGAUCCAUUGUUUAUUGUGUCAAGUGAGAAAGACCACACACAGGCAAAUAUCCAAGCCACCCUGAUUCGCAGCAGACUGGUAUGUCUAAUUCAUCAGCCAAGGCUACCUAAUGAACCUGAACCAUCUAGUUUGCCUAACUGCAUUGAUCAGAUUGACUAAUCACCAAAUCUUCACUGGAUUUUAGGUUCCACAGAAAUUACCUUGCCAAGAUUACUGGGGGGCAAAGCAUCUUAAUACUUGUGGCUCAUUGUGAGGAUUAAGUCACUAAUAAUGAAUAGAGAACCCAUAAGCUAAUUUAUUUCAAUGGGAUAAAUACAAUAAUAUAUGCCCAUGUUAAAAUAAUUCAAGUAGUACAAAAGCAUGUACAGUAUGAAGUAAAUUCUAGCUCUACCCCCCACCCCCUCCACAUAAACAGCUGUUGUCAUCAGUUUCUUGGGCAUCUAUUUAAAGAUAUUCUAUGCAUAUAGCAAUAACCCCUCUUCUUAUGCUGUAUACAUUGUUUUGUAUGUUUUUAAAAAGAGUUUACAAUGUAAUUAAAAUGCUUUAGAAAAGCUGUUGGUAUAAUUUUGUCCUUUGCCUCCCUUCCCUAACAUUAGAGAAAAGUUCCCAGGUUUAAAACCAUGUUCAGUAACCUGAUCCAUUAUCCAAGAUAUUCUCUAUAUUGGAGCAAGUCAGAUCCUGUCCCACCAUUUAUCAGUCGGGAAUGGAAGGGCCAUGAGGAGAAACACAGAGAAGCCCUCCGGCAGCUCGCCACAACUGACACUUCUUUUCAGAUGCCUAGAGAAGUUUAUGAAGAUCCUGAAGUUACUGGAAAGAAUCGCUAUAAAUACUUUGAAAGGCCUUUUCUUCCAUUUUUUCAGCAGAUGCCAUUCAAUGUUGUUUAUGCCGUAUCCAAAUGGAGUUUUGCUCCAUCACUCAGGCUGGAGUGCAGUGGCGCGAUCUUGGCUCACUGCAACCUCCACCUCUGGGGUUCAAGUGUCUCCUGCCUUAGCCUCCCAAGUAGCUGGGAUUGCAGGGCAGAACCAUACACUUUUCCUCCUACUUCUACUAAGCACCUAUCCAUCCCUUCAAAGUCUACUGUGGGCACUCAGACUGAUUAUCGGGAUGCUGACGUUCAAACAGAUCCAUACUCUCCAGAAUAUGUAGUAUGUCAGGACUCAAUCCCUGAGCUCUUGACCCUGGCUACGCUUACUUGGGGUCGGGGUCUGCCAGCAGGACAAGCUGAGGUGGAGAUGAUAGAAAGAGCCCGCGAGAAGCGUGCUUGGGAAGCCACUCUCCCUGCUCUGAGUGACACUUCCCAGUUUGAGAAGAGGAGGAAGAUGAUGAAUGAAAUGGAGAGGAAGGAGUGGGCCUUCAGAGAGCAGGAGAUUGAAAAACUGCAGGAGAUUCGCCUGGAAGUUCUAAAAGAGCUGUUGAGGAAGCGUGAAGAGAAUCAGAAUGAAGUGAAUAUGAAGCACUUGAAUGCCCGGUGGUCUAAACUGCAGGAGGCAAAAGAGGCAAAAAUGGCAAAAAUUCAGCGCACACAUGUAUCAACAAUCAGAAAACUUGUAGGAAAGAGAAAGAAUAUAGAAGGGAAGUUGGAGAGAAGAAAUAUCAUCAAGGAUUAUUCUGAUUAUGCAUCACAGGUCUAUGGACCUCUGUCUCGUCUUGGGUGUUUCCCAGACAACAACUCAGAGGACUUUGUAGUAAAAAACUACUAUCUCAACACCUAUGAAGGAUUAGUGGAACUUGAGUCAUGUCUCCCAGAUUUUGUGACACAACCCCGAAUCAGAGCUCCAAAACCUAAAGUCGUUACCACCAAAGCUGGUUUUCUGAAGAGGGCAGCAAGGUUGGAUUAUGAGUUGGCAGAGGUUCAUAAGGCACUAUUGGAUAAGAAGAAUAAAGUUCUUGAAGCAAAGAAACCCCCUCGCUUCCUUCAAAGAAACCCAAUACCUCAACCUCGGCUUCCAACUCCAACCUUGGAAAUGACGUCCAAUGAAGAAGAAGAAAUAGAAAUGGCUGUGAUCUACCUUCAAAAGUUACUCCGGGGCAGAGUCGUUCAGAACAUGAUGUUUGAAGGGAAAGAAAAGCGACUGGAGUUGAUCCAGGAGUUGCGCACCUGCCACGCGCUACAAGAAGAUGAAAAGCUGGUGAAAAAAGCCGAGAAGCAAGUGACCCUGGCCUUACAGCGGCAGAGGAACUUGCAUGAGCACAAGGUUUUCCUUUUUUGUUUUCUUGUUACUUUCUUGUUAAAUUUUCUCCCUUGAUUUUAUCAUCACACAGCAACAUUAUAAUAAAAAUUAAUGAAAUUAUGAAAAAGAAA